UGGGGAAUAUUGCACAAUGGGCGCAAGCCUGAUGCAGCCAUGCCGCGUGUAUGAAGAAGGCCUUCGGGUUGUAAAGUACUUUCAGCGGGGAGGAAGGGAGUAAAGUUAAUACCUUUGCUCAUUGACGUUACCCGCAGAAGAAGCACCGGCUAACUCCGUGCCAGCAGCCGCGGUAAUACGGAGGGUGCAAGCGUUAAUCGGAAUUACUGGGCGUAAAGCGCACGCAGGCGGUUUGUUAAGUCAGAUGUGAAAUCCUCGGGCUCAACCUGGGAACUGCAUCUGAUACUGGCAAGCUUGAGUCUCGUAGAGGAGGGUAGAAUUCCAGGUGUAGCGGUGAAAUGCGUAGAGAUCUGGAGGAAUACCGGUGGCGAAGGCGGCCCCCUGGACGAAGACUGACGCUCAGGUGCGAAAGCGUGGGGAGCAAACAGG
This 429-nucleotide ribosomal RNA is filed under the name Chloroflexota bacterium. Its description in RNAcentral is "Chloroflexi bacterium partial 16S ribosomal RNA". It matches the Rfam family "Bacterial small subunit ribosomal RNA", at positions 355 to 776 of the family's 1533-position model. Lineage: Bacteria; Bacillati; Chloroflexota. The record is from RNAcentral.